This 2034-nucleotide long non-coding RNA is filed under the name Homo sapiens (human). Its description in RNAcentral is "HSALNT0019544". Lineage: Eukaryota; Metazoa; Chordata; Mammalia; Primates; Hominidae. The record is from RNAcentral.
AAAAUAAAUAAAUACAAUAAAAUACAUAAAAUCAUCCCUUGAAUUAGGCAUUUAGAACCCACUUUUUGGCCACUGGUUAUCUUUUAGAAGUCUCGCAUAACAACCUAAUCUUCAUUCCCUCUUCCUCCCAAAUGUCUAUUUUUAUGGAAUAAGAGAUUGAGAGACCUUCAGACAGACAGACAAAUAGGCAGAUGCUACUAUCAACUAGAUAUUCACUUAAUAACCCAAAUAAACUAACAUAUAAAAAAGAUUGAAAUUUCAGUUUCACCAAGAGAAAUAUGCACUUUAAAAGGAAUUCUUAAUGCAAAGUAAGCUUUAUUUUAUGAGACAAUUGAGCCAAAUGUUUUGUCUUGUUGGAGUCCUUACCUACUCUGAAUUGUCCUUCUUCAACAUCACCAACUUCAACCACCCCAAACAGCCCACACAACUCUUCAAUAUGAUAUUCACAUCAGCAGAUUCCAAAAAUAAAAUCAGUUUGACAUUCCAAUCAUGUACUAUCCACACACUAUUUUUGACCUGUACAGCAUACCACUGUACUGAAUACUGUGGGCAAUUGUGACACAAUGGUGAGCAUUUGUGUAACUAAACAUGUCUAUACAUAGAAAAAGGUACAGUGAAAAGAUGGUAUUACACUCUACGGAACCACCACUGUGUAUGCAGUAUAUUGUUGACUGAGACGUCGUUACGCAGCACAUGACUGCAUAUAAAAAGCCAAAUUGCUACUAAUUUCAGAAUAUAAAAAAUCCCUAUAACUCAUUAAAAAAUCGCCAAACAGAAAAUAAGGGCACAGGGAUAAAUUUUAUAUACAAAUGCAAAAAUUAAACAAAAAAUACAAGAAUGUACAACUCUGUGUAAUAAAUAAAGAUUUAAAAUUUUAAUGAAGAAUUAAAGGCAAUACCACAUAUCUCUUAAAAGCACACAUUCUGGAGACAGAGAAUGUGGAUUCAAGUACUGUCUCAACCAGUUAGUAUGGCACCAUUUCUGCAUUAAAAAAAUAUAUAUAUAUAUAUAUAUUUUGGAUCUGUUUCCUCAUCUGUAAAAUUGAAAUGAUAAUAUAAUCUGUCUGUGGUAGCCAGCCUCCAGGAUUGCCCCAAAUAACUCUUACAUGCUGGUAUUCAUGCCUGUGCUGUUCCCUCCUACAUAGCAGAAUGGGGAUGAACCAUAUAACCAUUAGGAUAUUGCAGAAUAACAAAGUGUGAUAUCUAAGGCUAUGCCGUAAAAGGCAUUGUGACUUUGCCUUGCUCUCUUUUGGAUCAUCUGCCCUGGGAAAAGCCAGCUGCCACAUCAUGAGGAUGCUCGAGCAGCCCAGAGGAAAGGUCCACAUGUAAGAAACCAAGAUCUCCUACCAAUAGCCAGCACCAACUUGGGAGCCAUAAUAAUGUAUCUGGCAAAAAUAUCCUUUAAGCAUGCAGGAGAAAUAAAGACCUUCCAGACAACCAAAAGCUGAGGGAUUUCAUUAACACCAGACCUCUCCUACAAGAAAUGCUAAAGGGAGUUCUUCAGUCUGAAAGGAAAGGAUGUUAAUAAGCAAGAAAAGAUCAUCUGAAGGUAUAAAACUCACUGGAAAUAGUUCCAACAUAAUUGAAGCAAAUAGUAAAUACUGGUUGAAUGCAUGCCAGAAAGACACUAUGCUUGGCACACAGAGAAAAAAUUCAUAGCUGUUGGUUCAAAGAACUCUGUACGGUAAAAUCUAUUGAUGUGCUCUCUUGUGAUAACUUUCUGUUCCUUUAAAGAAGCAAUAAUCCAGGACAAUGGAUGAGGCAGGAGUCACUCAUCAUUGCUGUGAGUGUGAAUCAUUGCUAUUACAAAUUUAUUCCUAAAGGAUUUCCAUCCUUUUCUUGAUAUCUUAAAUAUCAAUUUCUACUUUCUCCUACUUUUUCUAAGAUUUUAUUUUAAUUUAGCCUCUUAAUCUGUUGAAAAAUUUUAAGUUAAUUUGAUUUUUAUGUUGUUAUAUUUUUUAAUUUAUUUCUUUCAAGUUAAUUGAUUACUUCUAACUGCAAGUUCUAACUGCAAGUUAACUUCCUAUCAUUUCAG